RNAcentral lists this unclassified non-coding RNA (402 nucleotides) under soil metagenome. RNAcentral describes it as "partial contains 5.8S ribosomal RNA, internal transcribed spacer 2, and large subunit ribosomal RNA". The stretch from base 1 to 121 matches the Rfam family "5.8S ribosomal RNA", at positions 35 to 154 of the family's 154-position model. The record is from RNAcentral.
GAUGAAGAACGUAGUGAAAUGCGAUAAGUAAUGUGAAUUGCAGAAUUCAGUGAAUCAUCGAAUCUUUGAACGCACCUUGCGCCCUUUGGCUAUUCUGAAGGGCAUGCCUGUUUGAGUAUCAUGAACACCUCAACUCUCAUGGUUUGCCAUGAUGAGCUUGGACUUUGGGGGUCUUGCUGGCCUACGGUCAGCUCCUCUCAAAUGAAUCAGCUUGCCAGUGUUUGGUAGAGUCGCAGGUGUGAUAACUAUCUACGCUUGUGGUUUUCUGCCAGAUAACCUUCAGUGAUGGAGGUUCGCUGGAGCUUAUAAAUGUCUCUCCCCAGUGAGGACAGCUUUUUGAACGUUUGAUCUCAAAUCAGGUAGGACUACCCGCUGAACUUAAGCAUAUCAAUAAGCGGAGGA